Molecule: unclassified non-coding RNA, 258 nt
Filed under: fungal sp.
Lineage: Eukaryota; Fungi
Description: partial internal transcribed spacer region
Rfam family: Eukaryotic small subunit ribosomal RNA (bases 1-46)
Source: RNAcentral
AAGUCGUAACAAGGUUUCCGUAGGUGAACCUGCGGAAGGAUCAUUAACAAACUAGCCGUUCGAGCAGGGCAACCUGCUACGAUGUAAGACUACUAGUAACCCUUGAACAAACAUACCUUUGUUGCUUUGGCGGGCCGCCUCACGGCCAGCGGCCUCGGCUGCUGCGCGCCCGCCAGAGGACCCCAACUCUUGAACUUUUAGUGAUGUCUGAGUACUAUAUAAUAGUUAAAACUUUCAACAACGGAUCUCUUGGUUCUG